AUGAUCUGUGAACGUUUGUUGAAAGAACGUGAAGAGAAAGUUCGAGAAGAAUAUGAAGAAAUAUUGAACACAAAACUUGCAGAACAAUAUGAUGCGUUUGUGAAGUUUACGCAUGAUCAAAUAAUGCGACGAUAUGGAGAACAGCCUGCUAGUUGUAAGUAUUUCACCUUUGAAGUUAUAAACUGAAAAUAAGAUUGUCUUUUAAGGAGAAGACAUUAUAAUUAUUUUCAUACUCAAAAAGAGAAUUCAACAAAAUUA
This 258-nucleotide long non-coding RNA is filed under the name Pan paniscus (pygmy chimpanzee). Its description in RNAcentral is "lncRNA (ENSPPAG00000044281.1)". Lineage: Eukaryota; Metazoa; Chordata; Mammalia; Primates; Hominidae. The record is from RNAcentral.